This 269-nucleotide ribosomal RNA is filed under the name uncultured soil bacterium. Its description in RNAcentral is "partial 16S ribosomal RNA". It matches the Rfam family "Bacterial small subunit ribosomal RNA", at positions 26 to 322 of the family's 1533-position model. The record is from RNAcentral.
AGAACGAACGCUGGCGGCAUGCCUAAUACAUGCAAGUCGAACGAACACUUCGGUGUUAGUGGCGCACGGGUGCGUAACGCGUGGGAAUCUGCCCUUGGGUUCGGAAUAACAGUUGGAAACGACUGCUAAUACCGGAUGAUAUCGAAAGAUCAAAGAUUUAUCGCCCAGGGAUGACGCCCGCGUAGGAUUAGCUAGUUGGUGAGGUAAAGGCUCACCAAGGCGACGAUCCUUAGCUGGUCUGAGAGGAUGAUCAGCCACACUGGGACUAG